Long non-coding RNA from Drosophila simulans, 1468 nucleotides. RefSeq lists it as uncharacterized. The record is from RefSeq and is a predicted model, not a curated record. The transcript has 3 exons. Lineage: Eukaryota; Metazoa; Arthropoda; Insecta; Diptera; Drosophilidae.
CCAGUCUGAAUUCUUCUGUUCAAGUUCAUUGGCUGGACGAUAAUGUACAUAUAGUGCACCGUGGGCAGCGUUUCAUAAAUCGGGGCACUCGAGCGUAGCCACUGGCGAUUAGGAGGCUAUCAAACUUUUGCCAAACAGCAGCUGACGACGCUCGUUAAACUCAUUUGUAAAUCACACGAUAAAGCUGCUGCCAACAAUGGAGGCAAAAUGACAGAUCUUCAUUUGAUUUAAAUUUUCUGAUAUUUCAUAAACAGCAUAGAAAAGCAAAUAUAUGUAUAUGUAAAUUAAAUGUAAACAUUAAAGUAUUUCAGCAUGACAGGAUUUUUGCAAAAUUUCCAUCCGUAUGACACACAUAUGGUAGGCAUAACAAGUUCUGUUUAUUCUAACAUUUCUAUAACGAAAUAGCUCUUUAUGCUGAUUAUAAUGAUGAUGAAAUCAAGCAAAUGGCUCGUCGUACUAACUGGGCUAAUUAUUGCAGAAGAACAGCGAACGAAAUGGAAUUGAAAGUGGAGCUCAUCGGGAGAUGUAGUUGGAAAUAUUGCUUAAUAUCAGACAAUGACUAAACUACGCCCCAGAAACAAAGGCACAUCCACGACAAUAGACAAUGGAAGACGAAGACCCCUGUUUUCACCGCCCUUUUACCCCCAACCGCCCCCAGUGGUUUUCCAUAACUGCUAUCAACUGUGUAUGGCGGCGCAUUGUCAACACAGCUGAAAUUUGACCCAUAAAAUUUCCCACAAAAUUAUAGUAAUUUUGCUAACUCAAUUUGAUGAACGACAAAGAAAAACACAGGCCAGCAGCGAGAUAAAAUUAUAGUAAAAUCCAGCAGGCGCAUUUCCAGGGAAAUGCGGGAAACGGCCGGCUGUGGGAGUCGAUUGCAAAACUAGCCGAAAAUUGUUUGCCGCCGCCAGGCAGCGAAAAGGGAAAAUCGGGGAAAAAAACCAAAACCAGCGCAAUUUUCACCAGUAUCCAGUUACCGCACUUCCUCACCAUCUUCAACUACGGUUGAAGAUGCCGCCUUAUCCCCCGGAAAAGGGGCACCACUGGCGGGGGGUUUUGAUCAAAGGGGCCCAACCGCAUAAUUAUAUAGCCCGCCGAUCUCAGCGGCCAUCAUUGCGGGCGGUGGGCGGUCAAUUGGACGACAGCAAAGAAGCAAAGAGGGCUGCAUCGCAACUUGAUGCUCUUUAUAUGGAAAAGUACGCUGGAUCGCACUGGGAACUUACCAACUUUUACAAACAGCGGGUAUAAUUACUAAUGGGUCUUAACUGGCACCGAAAAUUGUUUCUAUCCCUCAAAGAAACUAAAAGUUGCAGAUGAAAUCAUGUCAAAUUAAAAGCUGAGCAGCAUUUAAGUAAAAGUUAAAUCUCGCUAUUUGAUUUAAGUAUAAUAAUGAAAUAAAUCAUACUUAAACCCGAGUAGAUUACUAAUCUUUAAAAUAUUUUCCAGCUAGCCUAAGGCUGUCUUAAGU